UACGAAGGGGGCUAGCGUUGCUCGGAAUUACUGGGCGUAAAGCGCACGUAGGCGGCUUUCUAAGUCGGGGGUGAAAUCCUGGAGCUCAACUCCAGAACUGCCUUCGAUACUGGAGAGCUCGAGUCCGGGAGAGGUGAGUGGAACUGCGAGUGUAGAGGUGAAAUUCGUAGACAUUCGCAAGAACACCAGUGGCGAAGGCGGCUCACUGGCCCGGUACUGACGCUGAGGUGCGAAAGCGUGGGGAGCAAACAGG
RNAcentral lists this ribosomal RNA (253 nucleotides) under uncultured bacterium. RNAcentral's name for it is "partial 16S ribosomal RNA". It matches the Rfam family "Bacterial small subunit ribosomal RNA", at positions 524 to 776 of the family's 1533-position model. The record is from RNAcentral.